Yarrowia lipolytica is the source of this 82-nucleotide transfer RNA. It matches the Rfam family "tRNA". Rfam says of the family: Transfer RNA (tRNA) molecules are approximately 80 nucleotides in length. Their secondary structure includes four short double-helical elements and three loops (D, anti-codon, and T loops). The record is from Rfam. Lineage: Eukaryota; Fungi; Ascomycota; Dipodascomycetes; Dipodascales.
GCCUGGCUAGCUCAAUCGGUAGAGCGUGAGACUCUUAUUCAAAGCUAUCUCAAGGCUGUGGGUUCAAGCCCCACGUCGGGCU